Molecule: non-coding RNA, 270 nt
Organism: Vicia faba (fava bean)
Lineage: Eukaryota; Viridiplantae; Streptophyta; Magnoliopsida; Fabales; Fabaceae
Source: the annotation of a GenBank genome assembly
AUGACCUACAACAAGAGGGUACCUGUACUGGAAACCGACACAGACCAUGUAUGGGGGCUGACACCUGCCCAGUGCCAGAAGGUUAAGGAAGUUGGUGACCUGAUGGCAGGGAAGUCAGCGACCGAAGCCCCGGUGAACAGCGACCAUAACUAUAACGGUCCUAAGGUAGAAAAAUUCCUUGUCAGGUGGAAGGAAAAGAAGGACCCCUUUCGGGGGUGGGGGGGGGGGGGGGCUCAAGCCAUCAGUGAGAUACCACUCUGGAAGAGCUAG